This 344-nucleotide long non-coding RNA is filed under the name Prunus dulcis (almond). RNAcentral's name for it is "sRNA ncRNA". The record is from RNAcentral. Lineage: Eukaryota; Viridiplantae; Streptophyta; Magnoliopsida; Rosales; Rosaceae.
ACUUUUGGAUUCUUCUUCAUGGGGUGUAUAUAGCUUGGUGGUUGGCUGGGUUAGGGGAGCCAACGUUUGAGCAGUUCAUGUACCUGUACUCCAUUUCGAAGCAGCAGGGGAAUUUUGGCUGGGUACAGGCUAAUUGCCGAAAGGCGAGGGAGAGGGGCUAUUUUAUUGGACACAAGCCCACAACGCAAAAGUCCUGGAGGAACAGGUGGUGCAUGGCCUAUGGGGACUGGGAGAGUCCUCCAGGGAAGAGCGUUGUCCAGCACAUUCCUACCCACUUCCAGUCUAUAGGUCCUUGGCCCCAUCCCUUAAGAUUGUCUAAUGCUUGAUUGUGUUGUUUUGGCUCC